AGCGAACGCUGGCGGCAGGCCUAACACAUGCAAGUCGAACGGAGAUAGGGGCAACCUUAUUUCAGUGGCGGACGGGUGAGGAAUGCGUCGGAAUCUGCCCUAUGGUGGGGGAUAACACAGGGAAACUUGUGCUAAUACCGCAUAAUGUCGAGAGACCAAAGCAGGGGACCGGCAAGGCCUUGCGCGAUAGGAUGAGCCGACGCCCGAUUAGCUUGUUGGUAGGGUAAUGGCCUACCAAGGCGACGAUCGGUAGCUGGUCUGAGAGGAUGAUCAGCCACACUGGGACUGAGACACGGCCCAGACUCCUACGGGAGGCAGCAGUGGGGGAAUAUUGGACAAUGGGCGCAAGCCUGAUCCAGCAAUGCCGCCGUGUGUGAAGAAGGCCUGCGGGUUGUAAAGCACUUUUGUUCGGGAAGAAAUCAUGUCGGUUAAUACCCGAUGUGGAUGACGGUACCGAAAGAAUAAGCACCGGCUAACUUCGUGCCAGCAG
This 490-nucleotide ribosomal RNA is filed under the name uncultured bacterium. RNAcentral's name for it is "bacterial SSU rRNA". It matches the Rfam family "Bacterial small subunit ribosomal RNA", at positions 29 to 514 of the family's 1533-position model. The record is from RNAcentral.